GGUAGCCGAGGCCAGACGGGAAAAGGGCUCUGAGAGGUAAAGGGCCCGGAGUCGCUGGGGGGAGGGGUUCCCGCUGGAGGUAACCGAGAGGUGCGGGGGGCUUGGAGAAGACCGGCUGCGGGGAACGAAGCUGAAGGUUCUGAAGCGCGAAGCGAAAAGGCCAGGUGCAGGGAGGCGAAAGGAGGCCAGAGCUCUGCUAGCUUUCCGGAGAGGAACCCCCGCGCACUGCAGAGCCGGACGCCCGGGGCUGGACGCCCAGGUACCGAGUCACGCCCUAGGACGCAGUUACUCACCGCGCGCAAAGCAGCUGGGGACCCCGCAAGGAAAUUAAGGCACAACGGAGCCUGCUCCUUUUUAUCUCAACUCUAAAUGCUAUGUCUGGUUUGGUCCUGGCUGUUAGUUCGAGGCUGGAACAUCCUCCAGGGCUGGGGCCCAUUUCGUUUUAUUUGCUUGGGCCCCAAAUAAAAACCAUUUAUCCGCAUGCCUAAUAAAAGUUUUCUUAAAUCGGG
Saimiri boliviensis boliviensis (Bolivian squirrel monkey) is the source of this 509-nucleotide non-coding RNA. The record is from RefSeq and is a predicted model, not a curated record. NCBI's taxonomy places the organism in Eukaryota, Metazoa, Chordata, Mammalia, Primates, Cebidae.